This 497-nucleotide ribosomal RNA is filed under the name uncultured bacterium. Its description in RNAcentral is "partial 16S ribosomal RNA". It matches the Rfam family "Bacterial small subunit ribosomal RNA", at positions 28 to 507 of the family's 1533-position model. The record is from RNAcentral.
GAUGAACGCUGGCGGCGUGCCUAAUACAUGCAAGUCGAGCGAACAGAUGAGGAGCUUGCUCCUCUGACGUUAGCGGCGGACGGGUGAGUAACACGUGGAUAACCUACCUAUAAGACUGGGAUCACCUCGGGAAUCCGGAGCUAAUACCGGAUAAUAUAUUGAACCGCAUGGUUCAAUAGUGAAAGACGGCUUUGCUGUCACUUAUAGAUGCUUCUGCGCCGCAUUAGCUAGUUGGUAAGGUAACGGCUUACCAAGGCAACCAUGCGUAGCCGACCUGAGAGAGUGAUCGGCCACACUGGAGCUGGGCCGCGGUCCAGGCUACUACGGGAGGCAGCAGUAGGGAAUCGUACGCAGUGGGCGGAAGCCUGACGGAGCAGCGCCGCGUGAGUUAUGAAGGUCUUCGGAUCGUAAUACUCUGUUACUAGGGGAGAACAAAUGUGUAAGUAGCUAUGCCCGUCUUGACGGUACCUAAUCAGAAAGCCCCGGCUAACUACGUG